This 468-nucleotide ribosomal RNA is filed under the name uncultured bacterium. RNAcentral's name for it is "partial 16S ribosomal RNA". It matches the Rfam family "Bacterial small subunit ribosomal RNA", at positions 28 to 507 of the family's 1533-position model. The record is from RNAcentral.
GACGAACGCUGGCGGCGUGCUUAACACAUGCAAGUCGAACGGAAAGGCCCUGCUUUUGUGGGGUGCUCGAGUGGCGAACGGGUGAGUAACACGUGAGUAACCUGCCCUUGACUUUGGGAUAACUUCAGGAAACUGGGGCUAAUACCGGAUAGGAGCUCCUGCUGCAUGGUGGGGGUUGGAAAGUUUCGGCGGUUGGGGAUGGACUCGCGGCUUAUCUGCUUGUUGGUGGGGUAGUGGCUUACCAAGGCUUUGACGGGUAGCCGGCCGGAGAGGGUGACCGGGAACAUGGGGAAUGGGACAAGGCCCGACCUCUGCGGGGGGGAAAGGGGGGGAAAAUUGGAAAAGGGGGGGGGGGCCGGAGCGAGCAACCCCGGGUGGGGGAAGGCGGCCUGGGGUGGGAAAACCGCUGGCGCCGGGAAAAAAGGGGGGGGGAGGGAAAGGGGAAAAGAAGCACCGGCAAACUCGGUG